GCUCUAAAUGGGAGGUAAAUUUCUUCUAAAGCUAAAUACCGGCCAGAGACCGAAACGCACAAGUAGAGUGAUCGAAAGAUGAAAAGCACUUUGAAAAGAGGGUUAAAUAGCACGUGAAAUUGUUGAAAGGGAAGCGUUUGCGACCAGACUUUUUCCAGGCGGAUCAUCCGGUGUUCUCACCGGUGCCCUUCGCCUGGUUUAGGCCAGCAUCGGUUUCCUUAGGGGGAUAAAGGCUUGGGGAACGUAGCUCCCUCGGGAGUGUUAUAGCCCCUUGCGUAUACCCCUCGGGGGACCGAGGAACGCGCUUCGGCAAGGAUGCGGCGUA
This 325-nucleotide ribosomal RNA is filed under the name Daldinia sp. Its description in RNAcentral is "partial large subunit ribosomal RNA". It matches the Rfam family "Eukaryotic large subunit ribosomal RNA", at positions 285 to 632 of the family's 3401-position model. Lineage: Eukaryota; Fungi; Ascomycota; Sordariomycetes; Xylariales; Hypoxylaceae. The record is from RNAcentral.